Molecule: unclassified non-coding RNA, 400 nt
Filed under: soil metagenome
Description: partial contains 5.8S ribosomal RNA, internal transcribed spacer 2, and large subunit ribosomal RNA
Rfam family: 5.8S ribosomal RNA (bases 1-122)
Source: RNAcentral
GAUGAAGAACGUAGCGAAAUGCGAUACUUGGUGUGAAUUGCAGAAUCCCGUGAACCAUCGAGUCUUUGAACGCAAGUUGCGCCUCAAGCCAUUAGGUUGAGGGCACGUCUGCCUGGGCGUCACAUAUCGUUGCCUGAUGCCAGUUUCCUCGUGAUGGGUGACUGUGCAGGGCGAAUGAUGGCUUCCCGUGAGCAUUGUUGCCUCAUGGUUGGUUGAAAAUUGAGUCCUUGGUAGGGAGCGCCGUGAUAGAUGGUGGUUGAGUGACGAACGAGACCCAAUCAUGUGAGACCCCUACCGAAUUUGGCCUUCAUGACCCACAUGCGUCUUUGGAACGCUCAUGACGAGACCUCAGGUCAGGCGGGGCUACCCGCUAAGUUUAAGCAUAUCAAUAAGCGGAGGA